RNAcentral lists this ribosomal RNA (804 nucleotides) under uncultured bacterium. RNAcentral describes it as "bacterial SSU rRNA". It matches the Rfam family "Bacterial small subunit ribosomal RNA", at positions 8 to 808 of the family's 1533-position model. The record is from RNAcentral.
AGAGUUUGAUCCUGGCUCAGGAUGAACGCUGGCGGCGUGCCUAACACAUGCAAGUCGAGCGAAGCGCUUAAAUUGGAUUUCUUCGGAAUGACGAUUUUUGUGACUGAGCGGCGGACGGGGUGAGUAACGCGUGGGUUAACCUGCCUCAUACAGGGGGAUAACAGUUAGAAAUGACUGCUAAUACCGCAUAAGACCCCAGCUUCGCAUGAAGCGGUGGUAAAAACUCCGGUGGUAUGAGAUGGACCCGCGUCUGAUUAGGUAGUUGGUGGGGUAAAGGCCUACCAAGCCGACGAUCAGUAGCCGACCUGAGAGGGUGACCGGCCACAUUGGGACUGAGACACGGCCCAAACUCCUACGGGAGGCAGCAGUGGGGAAUAUUGCACAAUGGGGGAAACCCUGAUGCAGCGACGCCGCGUGAAGGAAGAAGUAUUUCGGUAUGUAAACUUCUAUCAGCAGGGAAGAAAAUGACGGUACCUGAGUAAGAAGCACCGGCUAAAUACGUGCCAGCAGCCGCGGUAAUACGUAUGGUGCAAGCGUUAUCCGGAUUUACUGGGUGUAAAGGGAGCGUAGACGGAUAGGCAAGUCUGGAGUGAAAACCCAGGGCUCAACCCUGGGACUGCAUUGGAAACUGUCAUACUUGAGUGCCGGAGGGGUAAGCGGAAUUCCUAGUGUAGCGGUGAAAUGCGUAGAUAUUAGGAGGAACACCAGUGGCGAAGGCGGCUUACUGGACGGUAACUGACGUUGAGGCUCGAAAGCGUGGGGAGCAAACAGGAUUAGAUACCCUGGUAGUCCACGCCGUAAACG